This is a non-coding RNA of Acanthosepion pharaonis, 105 nucleotides long. Lineage: Eukaryota; Metazoa; Mollusca; Cephalopoda; Sepiida; Sepiidae. The record is from the annotation of a GenBank genome assembly.
UACGGUCUCAUCACGUUGAAACAUUGGUUCUCGUGUGAUCAACGAAGUUAAGCAACGUCGAGCCUGGUCAGUACCUAGAUGGGCGACUGCUUGGGAAUAACAAAU